This 460-nucleotide ribosomal RNA is filed under the name uncultured bacterium. RNAcentral's name for it is "partial 16S ribosomal RNA". It matches the Rfam family "Bacterial small subunit ribosomal RNA", at positions 338 to 795 of the family's 1533-position model. The record is from RNAcentral.
CCUACGGGAGGCAGCAGUGAGGAAUAUUGGUCAAUGGGCGGGAGCCUGAACCAGCCAAGUCGCGUGAGGGAAGACGGUCCUAUGGAUUGUAAACCUCUUUAGGCGGGGAGCAAUGCCGGGCACGCGUGCCCGGAGGGAGAGUACCCGCCGAAUAAGCAUCGGCUACCUCCGUGCCAGCAGCCGCGGUAAUACGGGGGAUGCGAGCGUUAUCCGGAUUGAUUGGGUUUAAAGGGUGCGUAGGCGGAUUUUUAAGUCAGCGGUAAAAUGUCCGGGCUCAACCUGGGCCGGCCGUUGAGACUGGGGAUCUUGAGUGGGCGAGAAGUAUGCGGAAUGCGUGGUGUAGCGGUGAAAUGCAUAGAUAUCACGCAGAACUCCGAUUGCGAAGGCAGCAUACCGGCGCCCGACUGACGCUGAGGCACGAAAGCGUGGGGAUCAAACAGGAUUAGAUACCCCGGUAGUC